This 2281-nucleotide unclassified non-coding RNA is filed under the name Leishmania donovani. Its description in RNAcentral is "gene:LdHU3.21.1590(CDS-product:RNA_polymerase_III _misc_RNAion_factor_(TF)IIIC_subunit_putative)". The record is from RNAcentral. Lineage: Eukaryota; Euglenozoa; Kinetoplastea; Trypanosomatida; Trypanosomatidae.
GUCGGGAAGAGCAGUCGCGACACAUAGCCCGUAUGCUUUGCUGAGCCAUGACCGCUCCACAUGACUCUCCCGCCGCCGCCGGCAGUGAGAAGCCCGCGAUGCCGGCGUUUCGCAGCUACAUUAGUGUCGAGCUGCCCUUUGCGGUGACGCCAACCGUCACCACAUCGUCGGCGAUGCUCGGCGGCGCCGAUCACCCGAGUACGUCGGCACACGCGGGAGAGCGGCGCGAGGUGGAGGCCUUCCUGCCUGCGUCGUUUGUCGUUCCAUGUCUUCACCGCGCCACGCCACAGCAGACGACAUCUCGCGGCGAUGCGGGUGCCGCGCACGACAGCGCGGAGGAGCCGGAAGGGGAUGAUGAGGGCGACGACGAUGUGCCGAGUAGCAGCAGCGGCGGCGAUAGCGACGAGAGUGCGUCGCGCGCCUUCCCGCCCACGGUGGCGAAGCGGACAGCCGUUCAGACGGCACGCGGUGUGCGAGGCCAGCGGACGGCGCUGCGCCUCCUCACGCGCCACCACCGCCACUACUGCACCGUGCCGAUCUUCAGCGGGUGGCGCAGCACGAACUGGGGCAGCGGCAGCGACGAGGAGGAUGAAGAGGACCGUGCAAGCGGCACCGGGGUCGGCGGGGAUGGGUGCGCGGAUGCGCACGAUGCAGCGGCGGCGGCGCACCUGCAAGCUCAGAAGCGCCGCCGCCGCGAGGUAUUCGCCUCCACGGAGCCGCAGUUGCUUGUCAACGGGUACUACCGCAACGACUUGUUGCUGCGGGUGCGCCAGCGCCGCCACAUCCGCCGGUACCGCGACCCCGUCACUAACGCAGUGCUUCGCGAGGAAGUAGACAGCGCGGAGGAGGGGCAAGGGGGAUCUGCGCACGGCGACAAGGACGCGCGUGGCACGGCCAGGACGAGUGACCUGAGCGCAGAGGUUGUUGGGGUGGUCUCGCGCGAGAUGGAGCUGGCGCGUCCAGCCGACUUCACAUUUGCGCUCUUCACACCGGAGCAGCUGCAGGCGGCGCCGUCGCUCUGCGGCGCGGACGUCUUUCCGCCGCAGCACUUCUUGAGCGCGCGGGCCCCGUUCGAGGUGAGAUACGAGCCCGGCAGAGACCCGAACACCGCCGUGGCGACCGUCUCUGCGACCGCAGCACCGAGAGACGACAGGCUCGCGGGGGAUGCCAACGGUGGCUCGGCAGCUGCGCAGUACGACUUUGCGACGCUGCCGACCAUCAGCAUCAGCGCGGAGGAAUCGGCCGUGUUGCCGACGCGGCAGGCGGCGCACAACAGCUUCCUGCGCUCGAUGGGAAGCUCCCUCGAUGGCGGGCUCGACACUGACCCACCCGAGGUCCAAAUGAUGGUGCGGCUGCUGGCGGAGCGGCCGUCGUGGGUGGUGCAGGACCUGCAGGACGCCAUGCUGCAAUCGGGGCUGUGCCCGCGCGCUUACCGCAAUAAGCAGGUGAUGCAGUGCUUCACGUACCUCAUUCGCAACGGCCCGUUCAACCGCCUGCGGCUGCGACUCGGCUAUGACCCGUACGCGAGCGCCAGCAGCGUCAUGUACGAGCGCAUUACGGUGCGGCUGCUGCGCCGCUCCGACGUCGGUGUGCGGCUGCGGGACGUGUCGCGCUCGCCUCACAUUGAGAGCGUGCUGCGCCUGCUGCUCGAGCGCGACAGGGUGCGGCGCGUCGAGUACAAGAGCCUGCCAGGCCACGCGCGCCGUCAGACGCUGCUGGAGAUGCAGUGCCGCAACAUCCGCCGUGGGCAGCUCUACGUCCCGUUCCAACUCGCCGACGUGAUGGACGACCCGUACAUGGCGGACGUGGUGCGCUGCGUCGAGCCAGCGACUGCGCCGAUGGAGUUGGCGCGGCGUGGGCAGCGCCGCGGCUGGCUCAGCGAGGCGGCGUACUCGCGCGCCAUGGCCCACUACUCCGAGGCGCUAGCGGCGCUGCUGGAGGAGGAGGUCGAACCGCGACUGCGCAAGUUACAGGGCGAGGAGGACGCUGAGGCGAACGCAACGAACGCCGAUAAGGCCGCCGAGAGCAGCACCUCGUCGUCGAAGGACGAGGAGUUGGAGGACGAUGAGGACGAGGACGACUCAGCCAUGUUCUCCGUCUCCGCAGGCGACCUCUCCGAAGCGGCGGACGACGACGAGUAAGCAGUUACUUGCCACACACGGCCCGUGCGAGUCACGCCAUAGAAAAAAAAAUCAAAUUUAUGCGUAUAAACAUCGCCAUCAGAGAGCGUCACACACCUCCGUGACACCAUGCUCGUUCGCUGUCCAUCCUGCAACGCCUG